CGGCGUGCCUAAUACAUGCAAGUCGAGCGGAAUGAUGAAGAAGCUUGCUUUCUUCUGAUUUUAGCGGCGGACGGGUGAGUAACACGUGGGCAACCUACCUUGUAGAUUGGGAUAACUCCGGGAAACCGGGGCUAAUACCGAAUAAUCCAUUUUGCUUCAUGGCGAGAUGUUGAAAGACGGUUUCGGCUGUCACUACAAGAUGGGCCCGCGGCGCAUUAGCUAGUUGGUAGGGUAAUGGCCUACCAAGGCGACGAUGCGUAGCCGACCUGAGAGGGUGAUCGGCCACACUGGGACUGAGACACGGCCCAGACUCCUACGGGAGGCAGCAGUAGGGAAUCUUCCACAAUGGACGAAAGUCUGAUGGAGCAACGCCGCGUGAGUGAAGAAGGUUUUCGGAUCGUAAAACUCUGUUGUAAGGGAAGAACACGUACGAGAGUAACUGCUCGUACCUUGACGGUACCUUAUUAGAAAGCCACGGCUAACUACGUG
Molecule: ribosomal RNA, 489 nt
Filed under: uncultured bacterium
Lineage: Bacteria
Description: bacterial SSU rRNA
Rfam family: Bacterial small subunit ribosomal RNA
Source: RNAcentral